AGGGAAUAUUGGUCAAUGGAUGCAAGUCUGAACCAGCCAUGCCGCGUGCAGGAAGAAGGCCUUCUGGGUUGUAAACUGCUUUUGCCGGGGGAUAAAAUUCCCAUGCGUGGGACAUUGAAGGUACCCGGUGAAUAAGCCACGGCUAACUACGUGCCAGCAGCCGCGGUGACACGUAGGCACCAAGCGUUGUCCGGAUUUAUUGGGCGUAAAGAGCUCGUAGGCGGUUCAGUAAGUCGGGUGUGAAAACUCUGGGCUCAACCCAGAGACGCCACCCGAUACUGCUGUGACUUGAGUACGGUAGGGGAGCGGGGAAUUCCUGGUGUAGCGGUGAAAUGCGCAGAUAUCAGGAGGAACACCAGUGGCGAAGGCGCCGCUCUGGGCCGUAACUGACGCUGAGGAGCGAAAGCGUGGGGAGCAAA
This 419-nucleotide ribosomal RNA is filed under the name uncultured bacterium. Its description in RNAcentral is "bacterial SSU rRNA". It matches the Rfam family "Bacterial small subunit ribosomal RNA", at positions 356 to 772 of the family's 1533-position model. The record is from RNAcentral.